RNAcentral lists this ribosomal RNA (497 nucleotides) under uncultured bacterium. Its description in RNAcentral is "partial 16S ribosomal RNA". It matches the Rfam family "Bacterial small subunit ribosomal RNA", at positions 28 to 507 of the family's 1533-position model. The record is from RNAcentral.
GAUGAACGCUGGCGGCGUGCCUAAUACAUGCAAGUCGAGCGAACGGAUGAGAAGCUUGCUUCUCUGAUGUUAGCGGCGGACGGGUGAGUAACACGUGGAUAACCUACCUAUAAGACUGGGAUAACUUCGGGAAACCGGAGCUAAUACCGGAUAAUAUUUUGAACCGCAUGGUUCAAAAGUGAAAGACGGUCUUGCUGUCACUUAUAGAUGGAUCCGCGCUGCAUUAGCUAGUUGGUAAGGUAACGGCUUACCAAGGCAACGAUGCAUAGCCGACCUGAGAGGGUGAUAGGCCACACUGGAACUGAGACACGGUCCAGACUCCUACGGGAGGCAGCAGUAGGGAAUCUUCCGCAAUGGGCGAAAGCCUGACGGAGCAACGCCGCGUGAGUGAUGAAGGUCUUCGGAUCGUAAAACUCUGUUAUUAGGGAAGAACAUAUGUGUAAGUAACUGUGCACAUCUUGACGGUACCUAAUCAGAAAGCCACGGCUAACUACGUG